This 253-nucleotide ribosomal RNA is filed under the name uncultured bacterium. RNAcentral describes it as "partial 16S ribosomal RNA". It matches the Rfam family "Bacterial small subunit ribosomal RNA", at positions 524 to 776 of the family's 1533-position model. The record is from RNAcentral.
UACGUAGGGUGCAAGCGUUAAUCGGAAUUACUGGGCGUAAAGCGUGCGCAGGCGGUUUUGUAAGUCUGUCGUGAAAUCCCCAGGCUCAACCUGGGAACCGCAUCCGAUACUGGAUGGCUUGAAUUCGGGAGAGGGAUGCAGAAUUCCAGGUGUAGCGGUGAAAUGCGUAGAUAUCUGGAGGAAUACCGGUGGCGAAGGCGGCAUCCUGGACCGACAUUGACGCUGAUGAGCGAAAGCUAGGGGAGCAAACGGG